RNAcentral lists this transfer RNA (73 nucleotides) under Desulfurococcaceae archaeon. RNAcentral's name for it is "tRNA-Met". It matches the Rfam family "tRNA". Rfam says of the family: Transfer RNA (tRNA) molecules are approximately 80 nucleotides in length. Their secondary structure includes four short double-helical elements and three loops (D, anti-codon, and T loops). Further hydrogen bonds mediate the characteristic L-shaped molecular structure. tRNAs have two regions of fundamental functional importance: the anti-codon, which is responsible for specific mRNA codon recognition, and the 3' end, to which the tRNAs corresponding amino acid is attached (by aminoacyl-tRNA synthetases). tRNAs cope with the degeneracy of the genetic code in two manners: having more than one tRNA (with a specific anti-codon) for a particular amino acid; and 'wobble' base-pairing, i.e. permitting non-standard base-pairing at the 3rd anti-codon position. Lineage: Archaea; Thermoproteati; Thermoproteota; Thermoprotei; Desulfurococcales; Desulfurococcaceae. The record is from RNAcentral. RNAcentral also lists the same sequence under 1 other name.
GCCGCCGUAGCUUAGCGGGCAGAGCGCCGGACUCAUAAUCCGGAGGUCCGGGGUUCGAAUCCCCGCGGCGGCA